Molecule: ribosomal RNA, 397 nt
Filed under: uncultured microorganism
Description: bacterial SSU rRNA
Rfam family: Archaeal small subunit ribosomal RNA
Source: RNAcentral
GUGCAGCAGGCGCGAAACCUUCGCAAUGCAGGAAACUGCGACGAGGGAACUCCAAGUGCCUACGCUCAGCGUAGGCUGUUCUCAAGCCUAGAAAGCUUGAGGAGUAAGGGCUGGGGUAAGACGGGUGCCAUCUGUGGUAGCAGUCAAUAGAUUCGAUUUGUUACUGCAAGGCAUAAGCCGCCGCGGUAAUACCCGCAGCCCAAGUGGUGGCCGCUUUUAUUGGGCCUAAAGCGUCCGUAGCCGGCCCGGUAAAUGCCUGGGUAAAUCGUGGAGCCCAACUUCACGAAUUCCGGGUAGACUGCCGAGCUCGGGACCGGAAGAGGGAGAGGGUACUUCAGGGGUAGGGUGAAAAUUUCCUUUCCAUUAACGCUUUGCGCGAAGCGGAAAGGGUUAUCAC